This 306-nucleotide ribosomal RNA is filed under the name Triticum aestivum (bread wheat). RNAcentral's name for it is "partial small subunit ribosomal RNA". Lineage: Eukaryota; Viridiplantae; Streptophyta; Magnoliopsida; Poales; Poaceae. The record is from RNAcentral.
AUGAAAAUCAUCGGAUGGAAUUGCCGUGGCCUUCAUAAGGCUGCGACAGUUCGUGCGUUACUGGACAUCCAAAAGCGGAGGGCAGCGGAUGUUAUUUUCUUAUCAGAAACACAUCUUGAAGAAUGGGCUGCAGAAUCUUUGAAACGAAGGCUCAAGAUGGAUCAUUAGGAGGUUGUGGAGAGCGAUGGAAGAAGUGGUGGCCUUCUUUUGUUAUGGAAGAAAGAAGUGGUGAUUUCUUUGAGACAUAAGACACUUAACUAUAUAGAAGCUUUUGUUGGUAGUGGUCAAAAAACAUGUGGAGAUUAA